Molecule: ribosomal RNA, 478 nt
Filed under: uncultured bacterium
Lineage: Bacteria
Description: partial 16S ribosomal RNA
Rfam family: Bacterial small subunit ribosomal RNA
Source: RNAcentral
GAUGAACGCUGGCGGCGUGCUUAACACAUGCAGGUCGAACGAGAAAUGGAGACGGAAACCUUCGGGCGGAAGGCUUCAUUUCGAGUGGCGGACGGGUGAGUAACGCGUGGGUAACCUGCCUCAUACAGGGGGAUAACAGUUGGAAACGACUGUUAAUACCGCAUAAGACCACAGCACCGCAUGGUGCGGGGGUAAAAACUCCGGUGGUAUGAGAUGGACCCGCGUUCGAUUAGCCAGUUGGCGGGGUAACGGCCCACCAAAGCGACGAUCGAUAGCCGAUCUGAGAGGAUGACCGGCCACAUUGGGACUGAGACACGGCCCAAACUCCUACGGGAGGCAGCAGUGGGGAAUAUUGCACAAUGGGGGAAACCCUGAUGCAGCGACGCCGCGUGAGUGAAGAAGUACUUCGGUAUGUAAAGCUCUAUCAGCAGGGAAGAAAAUGACGGUACCUGAGUAAGAAGCCCCGGCUAACUACGUG